AGCCUGAACGCUGGCGGCGUGGUUAAGACAUGCAAGUCGUACGGUGUAGCAAUACACAGUGGCGAACGGGUGAGUAAUGAAUCGCUAAUGUACCCCGGACUUUGGGAUAGCUGCCCGAAAGGGCAGGUAAUACCAGAUGAUAUAACUUUGUCGCAUGACAGAGUUCUCAAAGGUCCGCCGGUCUGGGAGCAGGCGAUUUCGUAUCAGCUAGUUGGUAGGGUAACGGCCUACCAAGGCGACGACGCGUAGCCGGACUGAGAGGUUGGCCGGCCACAUUGGGACUGAGACACUGCCCAGACUCCUACGGGGGGCUGCAGUAACGAAUCUUCCGCAAUGCACGAAAGUGUGACGGAGCGACGCCGCGUGUGGGACGAAGCCCUUCGGGGUGUAAACCACUGUCAAGGGAAGAAAGUUCUGAUCUACCCUAGAGGAAGAGGCGGCUAACUCUGCGCUAGCAGCCGC
This 462-nucleotide ribosomal RNA is filed under the name uncultured bacterium. Its description in RNAcentral is "SSU rRNA". It matches the Rfam family "Bacterial small subunit ribosomal RNA", at positions 26 to 518 of the family's 1533-position model. The record is from RNAcentral.